RNAcentral lists this ribosomal RNA (484 nucleotides) under uncultured bacterium. Its description in RNAcentral is "partial 16S ribosomal RNA". It matches the Rfam family "Bacterial small subunit ribosomal RNA", at positions 30 to 507 of the family's 1533-position model. The record is from RNAcentral.
AUUGAACGCUGGCGGCAGGCCUAACACAUGCAAGUCGAGCGGAUGAAGGGAGCUUGCUCCUGGAUUCAGCGGCGGACGGGUGAGUAGUGCCUAGGAAUCUGCCUGGUAGUGGGGGAUAACGUCCGGAAACGGGCGCUAAUACCGCAUACGUCCUGAGGGAGAAAGUGGGGGAUCUUCGGACCCCACGCUAUCAGAUGAGCCUAGGUCGGAUUAGCUAGUUGGUGGGGUAAAGGCCUACCAAGGCGACGAUCCGUAACUGGUCUGAGAGGAUGAUCAGUCACACUGGAACUGAGACACGGUCCAGACUCCUACGGGAGGCAGCAGUGGGGAAUAUUGGACAAUGGGCGAAAGCCUGAUCCAGCCAUGCCGCGUGUGUGAAGAAGGUCUUCGGAUUGUAAAGCACUUUAAGUUGGGAGGAAGGGCAGUAAGUUAAUACCUUGCUGUUUUGACGUUACCAACAGAAUAAGCACCGGCUAACUUCGUG